GACGAACGCUGGCGGCGUGCCUAAUACAUGCAAGUCGAACGCUGAAGGAGGAGCUUGCUUCUCUGGAUGAGUUGCGAACGGGUGAGUAACGCGUAGGUAACCUGCCUGGUAGCGGGGGAUAACUAUUGGAAACGAUAGCUAAUACCGCAUAAGAGUAGAUGUUGCAUGACAUUUGCUUAAAAGGUGCAAUUGCAUCACUACCAGAUGGACCUGCGUUGUAUUAGCUAGUUGGUGGGGUAACGGCUUACCAAGGCGACGAUACAUAGCCGACCUGAGAGGGUGAUCGGCCACACUGGGACUGAGACACGGCCCAGACUCCUACGGGAGGCAGCAGUAGGGAAUCUUCGGCAAUGGACGGAAGUCUGACCGAGCAACGCCGCGUGAGUGAAGAAGGGUGUCGGAUCGUAAAGCUCUGUUGUAAGAGAAGAACGAGUGUGAGAGUGGAAAGUUCACACUGUGACGGUAGCUGACCAGAAAGGGACGGCUAACUACGUG
Molecule: ribosomal RNA, 495 nt
Filed under: uncultured bacterium
Lineage: Bacteria
Description: partial 16S ribosomal RNA
Rfam family: Bacterial small subunit ribosomal RNA
Source: RNAcentral